RNAcentral lists this ribosomal RNA (497 nucleotides) under uncultured bacterium. RNAcentral describes it as "partial 16S ribosomal RNA". It matches the Rfam family "Bacterial small subunit ribosomal RNA", at positions 28 to 507 of the family's 1533-position model. The record is from RNAcentral.
GAUGAACGCUGGCGGCGUGCCUAAUACAUGCAAGUCGAGCGAACAGAUGAGGAGCUUGCUCCUCUGACGUUAGCGGCGGACGGGUGAGUAACACGUGGAUAACCUACCUAUAAGACUGGGAUAACUUCGGGAAACCGGAGCUAAUACCGGAUAAUAUAUUGAACCGCAUGGUUCAAUAGUGAAAGACGGUUUUGCUGUCACUUAUAGAUGGAUCCGCGCCGCAUUAGCUAGUUGGUAAGGUAACGGCUUACCAAGGCAACGAUGCGUAGCCGACCUGAGAGGGUGAUCGGCAACAAUGGAACUGAGACACGGUCCAGACUCCUACGGGAGGCAGCAGUAGGGAAUCUUCCGCAAUGGGCGAAAGCCUGACGGAGCAACGCCGCGUGAGUGAUGAAGGUCUUCGGAUCGUAAAACUCUGUUAUUAGGGAAGAACAAAUGUGUAAGUAACUAUGCACGUCUUGACGGUACCUAAUCAGAAAGCCACGGCUAACUACGUG